CGCCUCUAAACAGGAGUGAAAUUAAGCCAAAUGGCCUCCUUACUUUUCACUUCACAAAUUGAACAUUUCACUUCCAUUUUCCCAUUUCAAAGUCUUCCAGCCUAAGCUUGGGAUCGUGGACAGUAUCAAGACUCGAGCCAUAGUCGUUAAAACAGUCCAUCUGCGACGGACCUACAUGCAACUCCAUCUCGAUACCCCUUGAUCUCGGUGUUAGAUUGAACACUGGGCCAAGAUCUGGCCCCGGUGCUCCCACCGCCACCGAGGCUCCGGUAGCAGCGGCGUUGGGCCUACAUGCCACUCGACCUCGAUCUCAAUCCCCCUUGGUCUUGGCGGACCAAACAGGCCAAGAUCUGGCCCCGUGCUCCCACCGCCACCAAGGCUCCGGUAGCAUCGGCAUUGCGACCUACAUGCCACUCGAUCUCGAUCUCGAUCCCCCUUGGUCUCGGCGGACCAUGAAAGAAAUUGUACAUUGGAGUGAUGUAUUGAAGUCAUAUAUUGUCCUUGAGAUGAUUGCUCUCUUUUGGUUGGCUUCAAUUUCUAAAUAUUUUUCCCAUUGAGGAUGCCAGUUUGUGUGACACCAAAUGCUCAUUUGGAGGUUCAUUUUUGGCGUUGUUGUGGCCCUGUGGUUCUACCAAGGUAACUCGCUUAACUGAUGGAUUAGCAUAUUUUGUAUAGCAUCUAUUGAUUCUUGAUCGUGUAGUAUUGAAAAUGUUUAAGUGAUUGAAAGGAGAUAAAAGUUCAAAUUGAAUUGAAUCUUGCACUCGUAGAAUUCUCUGUCAUGAGCUGCACUAAGAGGCCUAUAAUAAAAUAGAGUUGGUGCUAUUAACUGGUCAGAUAACCAUCUCCACUUUGGAAUCCUAAAAUAAAUAUUAUCUGUCACAAUGUAUUUGUGAUGUUUAAUUUAAAUAAUUAUCUAAAUAAAUUUUUAUGUUGAGUAGCCUUAGGUAAUGGAUAUACUGGCAAUUUGUAUACUUGUUGCUGAAAAUGAUUAUUAUUAUUCUCUAUGGGCAAGAAGUGAAUUAGAAUUUAUUUUAGGUUGGUGGGUUUGAUCCAUAUAAUUUUGGAAUGUCCCUUUGGUCCUAGGAUACGCAUAAAAACACUGGUUAAGAAACAGAGAAUAUAGGUUGGGAAUUACUUAACUCCCUAUGUUGCACCCGAUAUUAUUGCAUUUAAUUUAAUUGUCACAGGUUUGCUACGAAUGGUGUGUAACAUCUGCAAUUUCAUCUUCUAUGCACAACUCCAAUGGUCGCUUACACUGGGUAGGGCUCUAGGGUUUUCGUAGCAAUGUUGUGGCAAAAAGAUUCAUUGCUAAUGCAAGCUGGAGCAGAUGAUCCAAUUUCUGUUGUACACUAGUUGAAUUAAGCGUAUAAUUUUGAAUGCAGUUCUGGACAACCACUGAAUGAAAUGAGUCUGCAACUCCCCACUUAACGGCUCCAUUGUUCAAACUAUAAAGUUUUACCGUCUUUUUCCCUGUUCUAGUUUUCGCUGUUCGUCCAAUUGGAUAUUGGUAGAUCAACGUGUUUUACUUCUGGUGGAUAGACUCUUUACUCAUUAUCAUAGUUUGUAAAGUGUGUUACUUAAACUGUAACAUCUUUUUCUAGUAUAUAAAGCAGUUUAGUUCAGG
This 1624-nucleotide long non-coding RNA is filed under the name Olea europaea subsp. europaea. Lineage: Eukaryota; Viridiplantae; Streptophyta; Magnoliopsida; Lamiales; Oleaceae. The record is from RNAcentral.